GCUCUUUUGGGUCUUGUAAUCGGAAUGAGUACAAUUUAAAUCCCUUAACGAGGAACAAUUGGAGGGCAAGUCUGGUGCCAGCAGCCGCGGUAAUUCCAGCUCCAAUAGCGUAUAUUAAAGUUGUUGUGGUUAAAAAGCUCGUAGUUGAACCUUGGGCCUGGCUGGCCGGUCCGCCUCACCGCGUGCACUGGUCCGGCCGGGCCUUUCCCUCUGCGGAACCCCAUGCCCUUCACUGGGUGUGGCGGGGAAACAGGACUUUUACUUUGAAAAAAUUAGAGUGCUCAAGGCAGGCCUAUGCUCGAAUACAUUAGCAUGGAAUAAUAGAAUAGGACGUGUGGUUCUAUUUUGUUGGUUUCUAGGACCGCCGUAAUGAUUAAUAGGGACAGUCGGGGGCAUCGGUAUUCAAUUGUCAGAGGUGAAAUUCUUGGAUUUAUUGAAGACUAACUACUGCGAAAGCAUUUGCCAAGGAUGUUUUCAUUAAUCAGGAACGAAAGUUAGGGGAUCGAAGACGAUCAGAUACCGUCGUAGUCUUAACCAUAAACUAUGCCGACUAGGGAUCGGACGAUGUUACAUUUUUGACGCGUUCGGCACCUUACGAGAAAUCAAAGUGCUUGGGCUCCAGGGGGAGUAUGGUCGCAUGGCUGAAACUUAAAGAAAUUGACGGAAGGACACCACCAGGGGUGGAGCCUGCGGCUUAAUUUGACCCAACACGGGGAAACUCACCAGGUCCAGACACAAUGAGGAUUGACAGAUUGAGAGCUCUUUCUUGAUUUUGUGGGUGGUGGUGCAUGGCCGUUCUUAGUUGGUGGAGUGAUUUGUCUGCUUAAUUGCGAUAACGAACGAGACCUUAACCUGCUAAAUAGCCCGUAUUGCUUUGGCAGUACGCCGGCUUCUUAGAGGGACUAUCGGCUCAAGCCGAUGGAAGUUUGAGGCAAUAACAGGUCUGUGAUGCCCUUAGAUGUUCUGGGCCGCACGCGCGCUACACCGACGGAGCCAGCGAGUACUCCCUUGGCCGGAAGGCCUGGGUAAUCUUGUUAAACUCCGUCGUGCUGGGGAUAGAGCAUUGCAAUUAUUGCUCUUCAACGAGGAAUCCCUAGUAAGCGCAAGUCAUCAGCUUGCGUUGAUUACGUCCCUGCCCUUUGUACACACCGCCCGUCGCUACUACCGAUUGAAUGGCUCAGUGAGGCGUCCGGACUGGCCCAGAGAGGUGGGCAACUACCACUCAGGGCCGGAAAGCUCACCAAACUCGGUCAUUUAGAGGAAGUAAAAGUCGUAACAAGGUCUCCGUUGGUGAACCAGCGGAGG
Molecule: ribosomal RNA, 1305 nt
Filed under: metagenome
Description: SSU rRNA
Rfam family: Eukaryotic small subunit ribosomal RNA
Source: RNAcentral